AUGAACGCUGGCGGCGUGCCUAAUACAUGCAAGUCGCGCGAACAGACGAGGAGCUUGCUCCUCUGACGUUAGCGGCGGACGGGUGAGUAACACGUGGAUAACCUACCUAUAAGACUGGGAUAACUUCGGGAAACCGGAGCUAAUACCGGAUAAUAUAUUGAACCGCAUGGUUCAAUAGUGAAAGACGGUUUUGCUGUCACUUAUAGAUGGAUCCGCGCCGCAUUAGCUAGUUGGUAAGGUAACGGCUUAUCAAGGCAACGAUGCGUAGCCGACCUGAGAGGGUGAUCGGCCACACUGGAACUGAGACACGGUCCAGACUCCUACGGGAGGCAGCAGUAGGGAAUCUUCCGCAAUGGCGAAAGCCUGACGGAGCAACGCCGCGUGAGUGAUGAAGGUCUUCGGAUCGUAAAACUCUGUUAUUAGGGAAGAACAAAUGUGUAAGUAACUAUGCACGUCUUGACGGUACCUAAUCAGAAAGCCACGGCUAACUACGUG
This 495-nucleotide ribosomal RNA is filed under the name uncultured bacterium. Its description in RNAcentral is "partial 16S ribosomal RNA". It matches the Rfam family "Bacterial small subunit ribosomal RNA", at positions 29 to 507 of the family's 1533-position model. The record is from RNAcentral.